Molecule: long non-coding RNA, 2161 nt
Filed under: Marmota monax (woodchuck)
Lineage: Eukaryota; Metazoa; Chordata; Mammalia; Rodentia; Sciuridae
Source: RNAcentral
GAUCUGGGGCAGGUUAUGAUGGCUUGUGACCCUGGGGCGCGGUGGAGGUGACCCUGGAACUCUCCUGAGGCCAGGCCAAGGACACUGGCUCUGUGGGCCUAGCCACCAGGGGGACAGCAGGAGCCAUGCUCAAGGUGGCCCCUGUGGAGUGAUCACAGGCAGAGGGUCCAUGUGGAGAGGGAGACAGACACCCACCUGCUCCAGCCUCGGCCACCAUCUGACCCAGACCUCAAGAGGCUGAGUCACACUACUCGACAGAGCCCUUCCGAACCCCUGAUGUCCAGAAACCAUGGACAGCGACAAGACAACGGUGGUUUAAGCCACUGACUUCAUAAGCAGCAGUAAGAGAAGCAGAUCCCCCACCUGCUGCCCCCUCCAGGAAGCCCUCCCUCCUGAGGAGCGCUGUAGUUCCCGUCUCCAUGUCUGUUUUUCUUCACAACAUCACAUGGGUUGUAUGUGAGGGCCGCUCCUUGUCUGUCACUGAGACAUGGGUUCUGGGGAGGGGAGGGGGCAGCAUCAACUUAUUCCUGCUGCCUCCCAGCAGUGAGUAGCUCCUGGGACAUAAUAAGUGCUCAGCAAAUACCACGACUUAGUAAUUUCACUAAGUUAUCACACCUGCCCUGAAAAUGGGGCUCGUUACCCCUACUUUUCACACAAAGGAACUGAGAGACAGAGAUGUUCUGUUCUUGCCUAAGGCCACACAGCAGAGCAGGGUCCUAGCCUGAUUUCAUGGAUUCCACAUCAGUGUCCUCCUCCUGAGGGUGGAGGGACGGGGGACUGGCCUGGGACCCUGGAGCGGAGCCGAAGCAACCACAUCUGUCCUUUUGUUGAACCUUGUAUUUAACCUGGGGUUUGCCCUUGGGUGAAAAGAGGCCGGGGGGGUGGGGCUUUCCCGAGGUCGUCCAGCCAGGCGUCCAGCCCCCCGUGUUGGAGCUGGACCUAGAGCCCAGGCCCCACAUUCCCGAGCCUCAUCUCCUCCAGGGACAUCCCGAGCCACCGGGGAAAACUGCGUGGACAAAGCCCAAGCCAGGAGGGACAGGACUGUCCCCGAGGGAAAAGGGCCUCCAUUUCUCUGUCCAAAGUGGAGGGGACAAGAGGAGCAGCCGCCGUGUUCCCGGGCUGGCAGAUGGCGGUCCUCACCAGGAGCCCGCGGUCCUCGUCCCCGCCUCUCACAGGGGACUCUGAGGCUCAACGGGGCCCAAGGACCCCACAGGCGUGUCCUGGCCGGGUCAGGACCGAACCAGAACCCUGGCACCCAGGCCUGAGGCCCAGCAGACCUGGAGGCGGCCUUGGGGGAGAGGGCUUCUCGGGACAGGCUGGGGACAGGCUGGGGAGCCCUCCGGGUGGCGAGGACGGUCACAGCAGGAGUCUGGACCUGGCACGGGCCAGGACCUGAGGACAGGGAGGGCCUCGGCGUCUGCGGGGGGGCAGUGCGUCCCGUGUCCCUGUCCCGCUGCCUCUGCGGCCCGGUCACCUUCCUUGCGCCCCCAGCACAGUGGGGACUGGAGAGUGAUGGCCUGUUUACGGCGCCCAUAAUGUCGCAGCAAAACAAGGCCCCGGCAGAGCGGCUCCGCGCCUCUAAUGGGACAUUAUUUAUGUGAUCUUCCUCCCUGCGCUGGAGCCAUUACCGCCCGGGAUGGCGCUCCGUCACCCUCCACUCCCCCAGUGAUGUGCCAAUGUCACACUGAAGGAUGUGCGCUGCGGGCGUCACGGGCACUGCUGCCACUUCUGGACCUGGCGGAGGAGGGAGGGGACAUGAGUGGGACAGUGACGGCCUCCGAUCACAGGUCCCUGGCCCCCUCCUGCGGAGAGUGUGGCUUGCCCAGCACCAGCCGUCCGCCCGGGCGGGCCUUGGGGGUCCUCCCGCAGCCCCCAACCCCUGCAGUCAAGGCCCACAGCUCCAGGGAGCCGCAGAGGCCUCUGCACUUUGGCCCUUGCCACCUCCCGCCAGCCUCAGCUCCAGCCUCCACCCGCCCAGCCUCAAGCUGCAGCCUCCACCCGCCCAGCCUCAGGUCCAGCCUCUCGUGCCUGAGUUCCAGAAUCUGACGGGCCCAGUGCCCCAGACCCAGGUCUGCACCUUCCCGGAUUGGCUCAUGCCCACCUGUCCCGUCCUGGUCUUGGAGAGCCCCCUCCGCCUUGGCCUCCUCCUCUCACCCAGUGG